AGGACGAACGCUGGCGGCGUGCUUAACACAUGCAAGUCGAGCGGAAAGGCCCUUCGGGGUACUCGAGCGGCGAACGGGUGAGUAACACGUGAGCAAUCUGCCCUUGACUCUGGGAUAGCUCCGGGAAAACCGGGAUUAAUACCGGAUAUGACCACUUUAGACAUCUUUUGUGGUGGAAAGAAUUUCGGUCAGGGAUGAGCUCGCGGCCUAUCAGCUUGUUGGUGGGGUAAUGGCCUACCAAGGCGACGACGGGUA
This 255-nucleotide ribosomal RNA is filed under the name uncultured bacterium. Its description in RNAcentral is "partial small subunit ribosomal RNA". It matches the Rfam family "Bacterial small subunit ribosomal RNA", at positions 26 to 285 of the family's 1533-position model. The record is from RNAcentral.